UGCGAAGCGAAGCAAUGAUGCGAAGCAAAUCGCACCAAAGCCGGUCCCAGUUCGGAUAAGAGGCUGAAACUCGCCUCUUUGAAGUCGGAAUCGCUAGUAAUCGCAGAUCAGCAUGUUGCGGUGAAUACGUUCCCGGGUCUUGUACACACCGCCCGUCAAACCAUGAGAGUCACCAACACCCGAAGUCCGCUUUGGCGGCCUAAGGUGGGGGAGAUGAUUGGGGUUAAGUCGUAACAAGGUAAC
RNAcentral lists this ribosomal RNA (243 nucleotides) under uncultured bacterium. RNAcentral describes it as "partial 16S ribosomal RNA". It matches the Rfam family "Bacterial small subunit ribosomal RNA", at positions 1243 to 1500 of the family's 1533-position model. The record is from RNAcentral.